GUUGCCCGGGGCGGGUUCUGGGAACCCUGGCAACGGAGCUCUUCCGAGGCCUACAAGAGCGUCCCCUAUUUUCUCAGCUGCAAUAGCUCUGGAGUCCUGUUCUGCAAUACCGAGAGGGAGGCCUCGGGCGCAGAGGAGGAUUGUUACAGUCGGUCGAGGAGACCCAAGCCCAGCAAAGCCGGCCGCUCCGCGCUGGGGCGCAGCUCGCGCGCGCGCGCACGCACGCUCCCUAGCUCUCGGUGUGGGGAAUGAAUGGCCUCUGCCAGGGAACCCGGAACUAGCCCUGCCGCCCCCGCCUGCCGUCCCAUUCUCAAGAGCGGUCCUGGGUUCCUUGGAGCACCCCCUUGUUUCUGCCUCUUCGUCCUCCUAUUGCGGUAUCUGCUUGCGCCGCUACGGGAGCCAAAGGCUGGAGCGCAGCCUCCUGGACUGCGAGAGGGAGCCAGCGCGUGGCAGAGUGUUGUGGACUGGCUAAACACAGGACAGAUGAUAUCAACAACAGUUUAUUCAUCACAUAUCCUCACAGCUAGCAGAGUGAGAGAGGAGGAUACAGCCAACCACCAAGGGCUGCACAGGAGUUGCUACUGCUAAGAGAGUGAACAGCCAGGGGUUUGUGGCAGUUUAUGAAGAACAGCAAAAAAUUAAAACAGAAAAGUGACAAACAUUAUAUAUAAUGAAACAGAAAAUAGUAUCCUCCAAAGAACAGCUCUGAGAAUGUACACCAGUAGAGGAUGAUGAGCCAGAGCAAAGCAAGCAAAGCAAUGAACCUGAGUUCUUCAGGUUCUACGUCAGGAGACAGGGUCACCCAGGCUGGAGUGCAGUGGCAGAUGAUAGCUCACUGCAGCCUCAAACUCCCAGACUUAACCAAUCGUCCUGUCUCAACCUCCCAAAGUGCUGGGAUUACAGUCAUGAGCCACCAUCCCAGCCAAAACUGCUGCUUUUCAAUGAUCAGUUAAUCUGAAAUAUUAAUCAGGUGACUGUUUUCCUUCCUUACUUCCAGCAUCACUCUUUUAGUGUUUAAUCAUCAGGAAUGAGGGCCCUCUCAAGGAUGUUGAAUGAGACAAAAUACAUUUGAAUGUAUAAUUGUCAGCUUUUGAGUGGGGAAUGUUCAAUAAUAUGCCUCCUGGACUUGGGAGAGGGGAGAAAAGUAAGAACAGCAUCACUCUGGGUUUGAUAGAAAUCUCCUCUUGUGUUUCCUUUGAUGCAGAGGACCUUUGGAUCAGAAUAGCUUCUAUUUCCCUAUGUCCUACAUAAAAAGGGAGGGUAGUGAACAGAUUUUGUAACAUACCAGAUAUUUGGCUGCCACCUUCCCAUAAAGCCCUAUGAAGGAAGAUUCCUUUGGAAAUGGGCUCUGUCUUGAAAUACAUCGUUCCCUUACAAGGCACUUUCCUUGCCCCCAUUUUGCACAUGUAUGUAUUUGAGAUGUGCAGGGCCUAUUCAUGGUGACUUGGGGAUAUUAUCUCAUGAAAUGAGGCUUCCUUAUAAUUCUGUUAUAAUGACCUUUCUUUAGCAAUUAUUAUCCAUACUCCUUUUGGCACACAAACAAAUAGCAGUUGGCCCUUGAACAACAUGAGCUUGAAAUAUGUGGGUACAUUUAUGCAGAUUUUUAAAAAUAAAUACAGUUUGGCCCUCAAUAUCUGCAGGUUCUGCAUCUGCAACCAAAUGCAAAUCAAAAAUACAGUGUUCGUGGGGUGCAAAACCUGCGGAUACAUAGGACCAACUCCUCAUAUAAGUAGGUUCUGCAUGGUCAAGUUGAAGGAUUUUAAGAGUUCAUUGAUUGUGGUAUCUGUGGGAGUUGUCCUUGUGUAUGCAAAGAGAUGACUGUUCAGUGAAUUCACAUCUUUAUUGAAAGUAUAAAAUGUGCUCUACAAAAAAAGAUACACAAUUUUUUUAAUUUUUUCAAUUCAUUUAAUAAGCAUUUGAUAAAACUGCUCUUGAUGGUGUGCUAUGCAGAAUUUGAAUCUUGUCAGAAAAACCCUUGAGAAAAACUGUCAUAAAAAACAGACCUUAGAAAAUGGGGACUACAAAAUGGAUGCUGAUGACAGGGGCCCAUACCAGGCAAAACAAAGCCAGGCCAAAGGAAAACACAGGCAGACAAGGCAAGGACUGCAUUGGUACACUGGUUGUUCAGGGCUGCAGAGGCACCAGAAGAACCCAACUCCAGUAGGGCUCCAGAAUAAGGAUGGUAUUAAAGAUCCCAUCCAAGAUAUGACAAGAUGGCCCAUGGCAAUGGGUGGCAUAUUUCUGAAAACUAAAGCAUUCUGACAUCUCAACUUGGUUCUCCUAUUCUUUUCUUUAUUUCUUUUUUUUUUUUUUUUGGUUCUCCUAUUAAACCAAUCCUUCAGAGAGAAAAAAAAAGAUGAAUUUGGUAUAUUGAACAGUUAAUAUCUUAAUAGAAAAACACAAUGUGCAAAUCUAUUUGCUAUUGAGAUUUUAAACUACAAUGGCAGAAGCUGUUUCCAGAUUGCUAAAACACCUUAAAGAAGUUAACACUGCAUCCCCUCCCUUCAGUCACCCUUAGUGAGGGUGGUUUGUUUGCCAAGCUCUGAAACACCAGGCUUAUGGCUUUGUUUCUGUCCAGUUUUAAUAUUCUUCUACGUCUAGCUUAUGAGUUGCACCACAUCCUUGCUGUUAAUGCUAUGCUUGGUUACAGCGUAGAGAAAUGUUAAUGUCAUGAGAUCUGAUCAUCAGCAAUCCAGCUGCUGUGCCCCUCCUUACUAGAGAUAGUGUCAACACUGCUCAUGGGGGGAGGCUGAGCAUCAUAAAAUUGAACCCUUUUAAAGUCAUACUGAGGGAAACAGUCUCGUAGUUUUUAAUAAGAAAUAUAUUUCUUCGCCCCUAGUUCCUGUCACAGAGAUCUUAAAACACUUGGAAUUUAUCCUGAGUGAUAAGAGUAUCUUCUAUUUAUAAUGAGCCCCCCCCAACCUUUUUAAGACAGAGUCUCAAGCUGUCGCCCUGGGUAGAGUGCUGUGGCAUCAUAGCUCAUAGCAACCUCCAACUCGGGCUCAAGUGAUCCUCUUGCCUUGGUUUUUCUAUUUUUAGUAGAGACAGGGCCUCGCUUUUGCUCAACCUGGUCUUGAACCCCUGAGCUCAGGGCAAUCCACCUGCCUUGGCCUCCCAGAGUGCUAGGAUUAUAGGCGUGAGCUACCGCGCCCAGCCUAUAAUCAGCCCCUUUUGAUCACAUCUGAUUUUAUGCUAAUGAGGUGACUUAGAAUGGGACCCCUAGAUAGCCCAGGAUGGGAUGGGGCUGGUGAAAGACCAAUUUAUGAGAGUAUUUUUCGCAACCUCCAGGAAAGGUAGGGAGAUAGGGCUACAGCUUAAGCUCUAUAAAAGUCUUUUAAAUGUUUGUAAAAUUUUAAUUGACACAUUAUUAUUGUACAUAUUUAUGAGAGGGCCAGUGUCAUCUUUUGAUAUGUGUAUACAUUGUGUAAUGAUCAGGGUAAUAAAGAUACCUACCAGUUCAAACAUUUAUCAUUUCUUUGUGGUGGGAAUGUACAAAAUCCUCUCUUCUUGCUAUUUUCAGAUAUACAAUACUUUAUUGUUGACUAUAGUCACAUUACUGUGAAAUAGGACAUCGAACUAUUAAAACUCUUGAACAACUAGAUGUGAUGAGCUUCCAGAUUGCUGAACACAUGGAAGUGCCUAGAAGGUGGUGUGGCUGGCGAGGGCAUGGAAGCCUUGCUCCCUGUCCCUUGUAUCUCUUCUGUAUCUCUUCCACUUGAUGUUUAUCUGUAUUCUCUGUAAUAUCCUUUAUAAUAAACUGGUA
Nycticebus coucang (slow loris) is the source of this 3763-nucleotide long non-coding RNA. RefSeq lists it as uncharacterized. Lineage: Eukaryota; Metazoa; Chordata; Mammalia; Primates; Lorisidae. The transcript is spliced from 5 exons. The record is from RefSeq and is a predicted model, not a curated record.